AAAAUCUACUGAACAAUAGGCGAUAUUAUGUUUCCUUGUGCAUAAGGUACCAGUAGGGGAAAACAAUAUUUGCCUGGUUCUGGAUAUGUCACAGGUAUACUGGAGCAGAACGGCACAAGGAAUAAAGUCAAAACUAUGUUUUGUUAUCAAUGGCAGAAGCAAAAACCAUUGACUGAAUCCCAAGUAUUGUAAUGACUGAGAGAUUAUUUUGGCAGCAUUUGACUCACCUGUUCUUUGCCACUCUUAUAGAUCCUUUCAAGAAGUGCGUUAAGGGAUGGUUCAAAAAAGGAAGUACUGAUUUUAGGAAUUCAUUUCGUAGAGGCUUACAACACGAGUACACGUUUCAUAUUGACCUUGACAAAAUUUGUCAUUUUAGAAUGGGCUUUAGAAAGGGCAAAAGACAAACUCACCUCCUUCGCACAGGUGCCAGCCUCUCCUUUUGGUCCCUGUUGUAAGAGAGAAAAUUGUACACGUUUGAAAACCUAGUUUACAAACAUCAGACAACACAGGUGAAAUUGACACACCAAUAUAUGAAAUACUAGUUAGUUGAGUACCCUGCGUCCUCUUCCAUCAGCCACUUUUUAACAUGAUGUGCGCAGGCUAGUUCAACUUGCAAUAUUUUUUCAUUUGUAUGCUUUUCCUUUCAACUUUACCAAAGUGAUAAAUAAGCAAACUUGGAAUUUGUUUUGUAAACGGCUUUUAGUCGAUCAAAAGAUAUAAAGAGAAUUCUAACAUACCUUUGGACCUUGUGGGCCAACGGUUCCGGGUGGCCCAGUGUGUCCCUGAAAGAUUGAAAUUGAAGUCAGAUGUAAAGAGCUUAAAUUUUGUGAUGAUGAUGUUUGGAAUAUAAAGAUGACCUCUUUAAUGGGGAAUACUUUACACAAACAGAAUAUGUAGUCACGAAAAGAAGUGACAUCAACUAACUAUUGUAACUACCCGUUUUAUAUUACAGCCACAUUAUGAUAUUCAGAAAAAUCAAAACUCAAUGUAGCGUCAAAGUGCUAAUUGUACCAUGUCUUUUUUCACUCCAUAUCUUGUUUAAUUUAUUUUUCCAUUUAAGUUUUAAACAUCCAUGAUUUUGUUUUUGAAUUACCUGUAUUUGGAUUAGUGAGUGAAAUAUUUAUCUCAAAUUGUUUUGUUGAUAUUCCAAUCUUCAGCUAUUCUUUGCUUCUUCGAGUGUUUCGUUGUUUCCAUAUUUGGGAAAAGUACGAAAUCAAAUAAUUCAUUAAGUUAUCGCUACAUGUUAUCGUUAUCAUUGUUGCUGCUGUUAUUCUUGCUGUUGUUGUUGCUGUUGUUGUUGUUGUAGUAGUGAAUCAAGAAUGAAUACUAAAUUUUACCUUUUGUCCCUGUUUACCAUCUUUACCGUCUUUUCCUUUCAGAUGAAGAUGGAGGAUGUUGUCACCUGGAAACGGGCUGUAUAGUGCUUGAGCCUUGAGAAAGAAACGAUUUUGCUUAUAUGCCAUGCUUAUAGCAAUUAAGAUGCAGUGCAUCCCAUUCAAUGAGAAAUAUUAAGAAAAGCUGCAGACAAAUGAGAGACAAAUUCAGAUGUCUUGAAGAUGAGGCAGUAAGCUCAGCAUGGUGUCGCAAUCCUAGAGAAUCCAUACCAAUCUAACCGAAUCCCAGAAAUCUUGAUGAUGAGACAAAAAUCUAUUUGUAUCCAAUAACUUCCAGACGGCAGCUUUGGGAAUUUUGUGAACAAGUCUGAGCAGCUCAUUGCUGGGUUUCCUGGGGAACUAUGAUGAAAAAGAGGUAAGUUAUUUCUGCCAUUGAGUGCAAGUUAUGAUAUUUUCAUGUUUAAAGCAAAAUUUAGAAUCUAAAAUAUUUGUGUGAUAUUUUGUAAUAAAGUGUAAUUAAUAUUGCUUUAAGAUAAGGAAUUGGUGGUAUUCAGGACAGCAAGAGUAGAUCAAAAAGUUUAGCCCAUAUACUUAAAGAUUUUCUUCAAAUGACUCUUAAGGGUAUGAUAAGAACUAUAACGGAUAUCAGUCCUGUGUUUACCGUGGAUUUCAGAAAAUACGCUUUCCUUAACCUGAAAACAGACUU
Non-coding RNA from Rhopilema esculentum, 2040 nucleotides. Lineage: Eukaryota; Metazoa; Cnidaria; Scyphozoa; Rhizostomeae; Rhizostomatidae. The record is from RefSeq and is a predicted model, not a curated record.